CCCCGGUAAACGGCGGCCGUAACUAUAACGGUCCUAAGGUAGCGAAAUUCCUUGUCGGGUAAGUUCCGACCUGCACGAAUGGCGUAAUGAUGGCCAGGCUGUCUCCACCCGAGACUCAGUGAAAUUGAACUCGCUGUGAAGAUGCAGUGUACCCGCGGCAAGACGGAAAGACCCCGUGAACCUUUACUAUAGCUUGACACUGAACAUUGAGCCUUGAUGUGUAGGAUAGGUGGGAGGCUUUGAAGUGUGGACGCCAGUCUGCAUGGAGCCGACCUUGAAAUACCACCCUUUAAUGUUUGAUGUUCUAACGUGGACCCGUAAUCCGGGUUGCGGACAGUGUCUGGUGGGUAGUUUGACUGGGGCGGUCUCCUCCUAAAGAGUAACGGAGGAGCACGAAGGUUGGCUAAUCCUGGUCGGACAUCAGGAGGUUAGUGCAAUGGCAUAAGCCAGCUUGACUGCGAGCGUGACGGCGCGAGCAGGUGCGAAAGCAGGUCAUAGUGAUCCGGUGGUUCUGAAUGGAAGGGCCAUCGCUCAACGGAUAAAAGGUACUCCGGGGAUAACAGGCUGAUACCGCCCAAGAGUUCAUAUCGACGGCGGUGUUUGGCACCUCGAUGUCGGCUCAUCACAUCCUGGGGCUGAAGUAGGUCCCAAGGGUAUGGCUGUUCGCCAUUUAAAGUGGUACGCGAGCUGGGUUUAGAACGUCGUGAGACAGUUCGGUCCCUAUCUGCCGUGGGCGCUGGAGAACUGAGGGGGGCUGCUCCUAGUACGAGAGGACCGGAGUGGACGCAUCACUGGUGUUCGGGUUGUCAUGCCAAUGGCACUGCCCGGUAGCUAAAUGCGGAAGAGAUAAGUGCUGAAAGCAUCUAAGCACGAAACUUGCCCCGAGAUGAGUUCUCCCUGAGACUUAGAGUCUCCUGAAGGAACGUUGAAGACGACGACGUUGAUAGGCCGGGUGUGUAAGCGCA
Molecule: ribosomal RNA, 965 nt
Filed under: Salmonella enterica
Lineage: Bacteria; Pseudomonadati; Pseudomonadota; Gammaproteobacteria; Enterobacterales; Enterobacteriaceae
Also listed under: 1 other name
Description: partial 23S ribosomal RNA
Rfam family: Bacterial large subunit ribosomal RNA
Source: RNAcentral